CGAUCUUUGAUCAUGGUCUCGCGAAAACUUGUAUUUAAAACCCCACUCUUAUAAAUUGAAUCAUUUUAUAUUAUGUAUGUAAUAAAUAAAGAUCACUUUCAACAACGGAUCUCUUGGCUCUCGCAUCGAUGAAGAACGUAGCGAAGUGCGAUAAGUAA
This 158-nucleotide ribosomal RNA is filed under the name Glomus sp. MUCL 46239. RNAcentral describes it as "5.8S ribosomal RNA". The stretch from base 94 to 158 matches the Rfam family "5.8S ribosomal RNA", at positions 1 to 65 of the family's 154-position model. Lineage: Eukaryota; Fungi; Glomeromycota; Glomeromycetes; Glomerales; Glomeraceae. The record is from RNAcentral.